AUAGUUACCCUUUUUCUCUCUUCCAGAAACUUUUUCGUGUUGCUGCUGUUCAGUUCUCUGACUCGCCUGAAAAAAUGAAAAUGUUCUCCAUGAAGACUCACUGGAAAAAAAGAAGCUCAAAAGCUGCAAGAGAGAGAAUCACAAACUCUUCAGCCAGCAGUGCUAUAAACACAAGUCCCCAGCUGACAGCCACUCCAAAGGAUAUUUCUGCAUUUUAUACUGCUCAGUUUCCAGCCUCCAAAUUGAAGUUCCUGGGUAAAGUCAAUGCAAACUACCAAUGCUUCAUCACCUCUGCUGCCAUUAAGGAGGUCCAGAUGAUCUAAAUCAGCUAAGAAGCCCAUUCCUACAUCUACCUGUUGGAGCUCUGCCUGACAGCCCCGCGAUUCCAGAGUUAUAACAAUUUGGAGGGAAGGUGAUCACACUUUUCCAUUACCAGAGGUUCCCACCUUCCCCAGCAGACCCAUCUUUCACCAGGACACCACCUAAACCUUGCACUUCUUCUACUUCCACCGUGCUUUCACCCAGUGCCUUUGGAGCAGUCAAUGCAAAGAACUAGAGCAUUACACAGAGCACACCUAAACCAAGCGCUCCUGAUCAGGCAGCGCUGCCCU
This is a long non-coding RNA of Passer domesticus (house sparrow), 611 nucleotides long. RefSeq lists it as uncharacterized. NCBI's taxonomy places the organism in Eukaryota, Metazoa, Chordata, Aves, Passeriformes, Passeridae. The transcript is spliced from 3 exons. The record is from RefSeq and is a predicted model, not a curated record.